CCCUUAGAUGUUCUGGGCCGCACGCGCGCUACACUGAAUGGAUCAGCGUGUUUUCCCUUCCCGAGAGGGACGGGUAACCCGCUGAACCCCAUUCGUGGUAGGGAUCGGAGCUUGCAAUUGUUCUCCGUGAACCAGGAAUUCCCAGUAAGCGCAAGUCAUAAGCUUGCGUUGAUUACGUCCCUGCCCUUUGUACACACCGCCCGUCGCUACUACCGAUUGAACGUUUUAGUGAGGUAUUUGGACUGGACCUUUGAAGGUUAAUUCCUUCAUUGUUGUUCGGGAAGACUCCCAAACUUGAGCGUUUAGAGGAAGUAAAAGUCGUAACA
This 326-nucleotide ribosomal RNA is filed under the name uncultured eukaryote. Its description in RNAcentral is "partial 18S ribosomal RNA". It matches the Rfam family "Eukaryotic small subunit ribosomal RNA", at positions 1470 to 1796 of the family's 1831-position model. The record is from RNAcentral.